CCGAAGAGUGAGAAGGUGUCUUUCUCGAAUAUAACUUUUCCUAUUAUGUUGCUUGAAUGACGGAAGUCAUCAGAGACCUAGAACUACGAUAUGAAUUCUGCAUGAGUUCCUGUUCUUGUGCCGUGCGUGUAACGUUUCUUGAUGCCCGUCCAACUUCAGGAUUUCACUGAUACCUCAGUUCAAGAAAAAUUGCACUUUCCCUAACUCGAUUAUGUUAGGAUUUGUGGAUAUCGACGAGCUCACCGCCCCGAUAACUUUGGCAUUAAUUCUGCAAGGGACUUUCAUGGACACGUUCAACGACAUUCCCAACGACUCAUGCUUAAGAAAUCUUCUUCUUUAGGAUUUGUGCUUUUUGAGUUAUCCAUGAUACUGUUGUUUCUCCUGCUGGAACUCCGUGGAAUUGUUGUAUAAGUCCUCUAGAAGGCACUGAUUUCUGCCAAUAGUUUUGAGUGUCAUGUAGCUGGGUCAGGUCCAGGAUAUGUGCGGGCCGGCAGCAAUGGCCUUCGAGAGGGAGGAUGCGACCGUAGUUGGCACAGAAGAUUUGGCGAGAUUGGAGGAUUUGUGGGCCAAACUGCCGGAGGAGGUGCAGUAUAUGAUAUUUAGACACCUUCGUUGGAGGACGCUCUUUCCAAUUUGUGUCGUUUGCAAGAGUUUCAACGACUCGAUCAAUCGUUACAUCAGAGAUCUGCCGUUAUUUCGCACUGCCGUAGCCAUCUCAAGCAACUGAAGACUGUGUUGGCCGCAAUCUUUUCUUACACGGUGGAGCAUCACUGUGUCUGCAACAGAUUAUGGAUUGACACCCGAAUGAACUUUGCUGGACAGGUGAGGUCUUCAAAUCGAUUUCUAUCUUCGUGGUCCUUUCAGUUCUAGUCGCAUAUUAGAAUUCUUUCAUUGUCGAGAUCUAAUCGUGUCUGACUCAAAGAUUCCGCAACAAAGUUUUCGGACCUCAUGCGAGAUCGUCUUUAUAGAUGAUUUGCCAACGAACUCUCCGCAGGAUAUCCAGCUUAGGGUACCGUGCAGUUUCGCUUUGCGAUUUACGCCCAAUUUUGAAGUCUAACCACAAAAGACGAUGAUAUGCGCCGUUGAUAUGUUUCUCGUUGACUCCUCAGUGGCAAAUAUUACAACUGCGCAGCUAACCCGUGCAACAGGGCUGCAUCGUCACUGUUAGCGCUGCUCAGAAGUAGUGUUACACAAUCAUAUUGAUAUUGAAUGAAGGAUUUACCUUCUAAUUUGUCGAGUUCUAUCGACUGCAUCUUAUUGUGGCUCGCAGGCGGAGAGAUGGCCUAAUGCGUAAUUUGCACUGCUCUUGCCAGCAUAUCUGGUCAAUAACCUAACAUGAAACCACUCUUCAGAAGCGUCGCCAUCGCUGAUUUGACGCUGACUGCAUCGGAGAUUAUGUGUUCGAGCUGUGAGUACCACCUGCUGUGUAAGUCUUACAUAAGUUACGUUAGAUACAGUUGCAGUUACUGCAAACUUCUACUUAUGGGAGUAGAAUAUAAUAAGCUUUAUAUGAUAGGCUGAGAUGGAUAAGGGUAUACAUCAUUGCUGACAUCUUUCUAGAACCUCUAAGAUUGCAAUGUGUGAUUUCUUGUUGGAUCAGCUACGUCCAUAGAAUGAACUCGUUCCUUAAGAAAAUAAAGAAACUCAUCAGCAAUAACAGCUUCUUGUGCUUUAAGUGAGUUUUCUGGAACCAGUGACUAUGUUUUAGCACACAGCUUCUGAUUCUAGAUUCAACACACGACAGUGAUAGGAAACAUUUCUGGUCACUGCUGCGAGCCCCGGCAUUACCACUGUGCUCGAACGUUGCGUCUUCUCAUUAUUUUCAAAAAAUAGAAGUAUGGUUGUGACUUUGCGUUCGACAAUUUGCAGCCCUAGCCUUGAAAAUUGACUCACGCAGUAAAAUUUGAACUUAAAGAUAAACUUGAGAGCAAGGUGCAGGUAACACCGCAAUCAUAGCAUUAAUUCCAGUGAAAGUGGACAAAGAUUCAAGGGAAGGCAAUUAUGU
Molecule: long non-coding RNA, 2005 nt
Filed under: Physcomitrium patens
Lineage: Eukaryota; Viridiplantae; Streptophyta; Bryopsida; Funariales; Funariaceae
Description: long non-coding RNA (PPAT_LNC008628)
Source: RNAcentral